UGAGUAAUUUAGUUUUGGUUAUAGAAGGGUUUAUGCAGGGGUGCCACAUAGUGUUUUUAUAUGUUUAUCUUCUGUUUGAUUGCUAAUGUCUCAGGUUAAACUAGUGGUUAGAUUUUAUUUACUAUACGAGAGUAUGAGUGAGUUCCUGAAUAAGUGUGGGUGGUUAAUUCACAGUGCCAGCAGCUGCGGUUAUUCUGUUAGCCUUUCCUUCACGUCGGUUUAAAUGGUUUGUGAGUAAUUUAGAAUUUUGGGGGUAGAAUCUUUGCUUUCUCUUGCUAUUCUCUCACAAAUUCUACCGAAAGCUAUAGAAAGAAGAGGAUUAGAGACCCUGGUAUUGAGUUAUAGUUAUUUUGUGGCUUCAUAGUUUAAACUAAAAAAAUUUGGCAGCCGAUGAUUUCCCCCGGGGGAGCGUGCGGUGUAAGAGAUGAUCCACUUAUAUCUUUACCACCUCUAUUGUGGGUUAGUGUACGUCCGGUUUAAUACCUCUGAUUAGAGUCUUUAGGUGAAUUUCAGUUGAUUUAGGCCAGGUCGAUGUGCUGCUGAUGGGGUGCGUAUCUGUUCGCUACUUUGAUAAAAGAUGGUGGAGUGAAGACUCUCUAUGAAUUGAGGACUCGGGAGUAGGUGUAAGUGGGAAGAGAUACAUCGAAAUUUGAUUUAGUUGGGGUACACACCGCCCGUCAACCAGAAUAAUUAUUAGUUUUGGUAAGUCGUAACAUGGUAACGCUGGGGGAACCGGGCGUUAGUUAAUAGGGUGUUUAUUUUUCCUAUUAUAAAGCUUG
Molecule: non-coding RNA, 779 nt
Filed under: Clonorchis sinensis
Lineage: Eukaryota; Metazoa; Platyhelminthes; Trematoda; Opisthorchiida; Opisthorchiidae
Source: RNAcentral